Molecule: long non-coding RNA, 807 nt
Filed under: Mytilus galloprovincialis (Mediterranean mussel)
Lineage: Eukaryota; Metazoa; Mollusca; Bivalvia; Mytilida; Mytilidae
Source: RNAcentral
CGGAUAUCAUCCUUUAAUAAUUCCUAAAUUUUGUUAUACUGUUGAACUACCUUUUAGGUUGUACUUUUUAUAUUGUCAUGGUUGUAUUGUCAAAUGAAUACAAUUGUGAACAAAUGAUUUUUAUGGUUUUAAAAGGCUGUAUACAAUAUGUUUUAUGUUGUUGGACUCACACGUAAGCCUAAUUACAAGAGUAAGAACCUAAUAUUUAAAUGCACACAACUAGCAUCCAAGCUUAUACUGUUUCAUGUAAACUUAUGUGAGCAUAUUUUUUGUUAAUUCUAAAUACUUUAUCUGCUUUAUACUGCCAUGACUGUAAUUUACCAAUGGAUUUAUAAUUACAGCAACAUUCAAAAUUGGAGUUAUCUUUCCUUUGUUCAUAGUUGUAGUUGAUAAAUAUCCAAUUCAUCAUGUUUAUUAUUAUAAUGAUUUAAUUUUCAAUACUUAAUGCAAUGCAAUAAUAUUUUGUUCCCACUGGAAACUGAAUGCAAUGUUUAUUCUCCAGUGCUCACAAUCAAUUUUAUUAUUGUAAUUGUGUACUAGGUCAAUAAAUUAUCAAGAAUGUGAUAUAAAAAAUUCUUUUUAAAGUCAAAAGUGGUUGUUAUCUGAACUCUAAAAUGCUUAAACAUGCAUUAUAAGUGUAAUAUACAAGAAAGUACUAAGGAGAUGUAGCCUGCCAAUGAAUCAUAUGUAAAGUUGUGUUUUCAUGCUUACAUGCAUCUUUCUUAUAAUUUGCCAUAUAUUUUCAUGUUUUCUAUUUUUAUUUAAGAAUUUUUUAUUUCAUGUUUUUUUUAUAUAUAUAUAACUGGA